Molecule: ribosomal RNA, 446 nt
Filed under: uncultured bacterium
Lineage: Bacteria
Description: partial 16S ribosomal RNA
Rfam family: Bacterial small subunit ribosomal RNA
Source: RNAcentral
CCUACGGGCGGCAGCAGUCGAGAAUCAUUCACAAUGGGGGAAACCCUGAUGGUGCGACGCCGCGUGGGGGAUUGAAGGUCUUCGGAUUGUAAACCCCUGUUAUGUGGGAGCAAAUUAAAAAGAUAGUACCAUAAGAGGAAGAGACGGCUAACUCUGUGCCAGCAGCCGCGGUAAUACAGAGGUCUCAAGCGUUGUUCGGAAUCACUGAGCGUAAAGCGUGCGUAGGCUGUUUCGUAAGUCGUGUGUGAAAGGCGCGGCCUCAACACGCGGACGACACAUGAUACUGCGAGACUAGAGUAAUGGAGGGGGAACCGGAAUUCUCGGUGUAGCAGUGAAAUGCGUAGAUAUCAAGAGGAACACUCAUGGCGAAGGCGGGUUCCUGGACAUUCACUGACGCUGAGGCACGAAGGCGAGGGGAGCGAAAGGGAUUAGAUACCCGAGUAGUC